Long non-coding RNA from Mustela lutreola (European mink), 788 nucleotides. RefSeq lists it as uncharacterized. The record is from RefSeq and is a predicted model, not a curated record. NCBI's taxonomy places the organism in Eukaryota, Metazoa, Chordata, Mammalia, Carnivora, Mustelidae. The transcript is spliced from 2 exons.
UUCUCUGAGCCAGAGUUUACACAGAGUCUCAGAGAAGAAAGCUCUAUUCUUCCCACAGGAAGAGGCAGGCCGGCCGCCCCUGGCUGUGUUUGUCCUGAAUCUCGGGAAUGUGUGGCAAAUGCAUUUCCCCAGCCGGGCCCUGGGGUGUUCUUGUAGGCCAGGGUGUCAGAGGCCAAGAGUCUUGCAGUCAUGAACCCUGAUUUCCCCUGGCGCCUGGAGAGAGACAGGCUAUGCAUCAUCUCUAGCAUUGAGACGACGGAUCCAGAGUCACAAUGGUCCAGGCUUUAUGGGAGGUGGUCCCCAGCCCACAUCAUGCUACAGAUACAAGAAUAAGAUCUUGGAAAACCAGGAAACCAAUAUCUAGGGCAAGAGCUUAUGGUGGAAACGCUGUUGUGGAAGGAAGUUAGAGAGGAUGGGAAGGGGAGAUUUUGAGGUUCUCUCCCUUGGCUUCUAAAGCACAACCCUGAACUGGACAGGACAGCCUGGAAACAACACUGGCAAAGGAAAGUCCCAGAGGAGGAAAGUGCUGAGCUCGUCGUAACGGCCCUGAGCUACACCGACAAGGAAUGGUGUCCUUAUACAAAGAGGAUUUUCUUAUAAAGACACCAGAGCUGCCUCUUGCCUUCUCUCUCUCCUUACGCCCAAAGAGCCCAUGUGAUCACACAGUCAGAAGGUGCCAUCUAUAAGCCAGGAAGAGACAUCUCACCAGAAACCAAAUCUCAUGUCACCUUGAUCUCAGACUUCUAGCCUCCAGAAAUGUGAGAAAAUAAAUUCUGCUGUUUAAGUCC